This 253-nucleotide ribosomal RNA is filed under the name uncultured bacterium. RNAcentral describes it as "partial 16S ribosomal RNA". It matches the Rfam family "Bacterial small subunit ribosomal RNA", at positions 524 to 776 of the family's 1533-position model. The record is from RNAcentral.
UACGUAGGGCGCAAGCGUUGUCCGGAAUUAUUGGGCGUAAAGAGCUCGUAGGCGGUUUGUCGCGUCUGUCGUGAAAGCCCACGGCUUAACCGUGGGUCUGCGGUGGAUACGGGCAGACUAGAGGCAGGUAGGGGAGAAUGGAAUUCCUGGUGUAGCGGUGAAAUGCGCAGAUAUCAGGAGGAACACCGGUGGCGAAGGCGGGUCUCUGGGCCGAUACUGACGCUGAGGCGCGAAAGCUAGGGGAGCAAACGGG